RNAcentral lists this ribosomal RNA (498 nucleotides) under uncultured bacterium. Its description in RNAcentral is "partial 16S ribosomal RNA". It matches the Rfam family "Bacterial small subunit ribosomal RNA", at positions 30 to 523 of the family's 1533-position model. The record is from RNAcentral.
AUUGAACGCUGGCGGCAUGCCUUACACAUGCAAGUCGAACGGUAACAGGUCUUCGGAUGCUGACGAGUGGCGAACGGGUGAGUAAUACAUCGGAACGUGCCUAGUAGUGGGGGAUAACUACUCGAAAGAGUGGCUAAUACCGCAUGAGAUCUACGGAUGAAAGCAGGGGAUCGCAAGACCUUGUGCUACUAGGGCGGCCGAUGGCAGAUUAGGUAGUUGGUGGGAUAAAAGCUUACCAAGCCGACGAGCUGUAGCUGGUCUGAGAGGACGAUCAGCCACACUGGGACUGAGAAACGGCCCAGACUCCUACGGGAGGCAGCAGUGGGGAAUUUUGGACAAUGGGCGCAAGCCUGAUCCAGCAAUGCCGCGUGCAGGAUGAAGGCCUUCGGGUUGUAAACUGCUUUUGUACGGAACGAAAAGCCCCGGGUUAAUACCCUGGGGUCAUGACAGUACCGUAAGAAUAAGCACCGGCUAACUACGUGCCAGCCGCCGCGGUAA